AGGAAUUUAGGUUAAGUAGACCAAGAGCCUUCAAAGCUCUAAGUAAGUGACCCCCACUUAAUUCCUG
Molecule: transfer RNA, 67 nt
Filed under: Neotamias cinereicollis (gray-collared chipmunk)
Lineage: Eukaryota; Metazoa; Chordata; Mammalia; Rodentia; Sciuridae
Description: tRNA-Trp
Source: RNAcentral